AGUGAACGCUGGCGGUAGGCCUAACACAUGCAAGUCGAACGGCAGCACAGUAAGAGCUUGCUCUUACGGGUGGCGAGUGGCGGACGGGUGAGGAAUACAUCGGAAUCUACUUUUUCGUGGGGGAUAACGUAGGGAAACUUACGCUAAUACCGCAUACGACCUACGGGUGAAAGCAGGGGAUCUUCGGACCUUGCGCGAUUGAAUGAGCCGAUGUCGUAUUAGCUAGUUGGCGGGGUAAAGGCCCACCAAGGCGACGAUCCGUAGCUGGUCUGAGAGGAUGAUCAGCCGCACUGGAACGGAGACACGGUCCAGACGCCUACGGGAGGCAGCAGUGUGGAAUAUUGGACAAUGGGCGCAAGCCUGGUCCAGCCAUACCGCGUGGGUGAAGAAGGCCUUCGGGUUGUAAAGCCCUUUUGUUGGGAAAGAAAAGCAGCAGGUUAAGACCCCGCUGUUCUGACGGUACCCAAAGAAUAAGCACCGGCUAACUUCGUG
Molecule: ribosomal RNA, 492 nt
Filed under: uncultured bacterium
Lineage: Bacteria
Description: partial 16S ribosomal RNA
Rfam family: Bacterial small subunit ribosomal RNA
Source: RNAcentral